AUUGAACGCUGGCGGCAUGCCUUACACAUGCAAGUCGAACGGUAACAGGUCUUCGGAUGCUGACGAGUGGCGAACGGGUGAGUAAUACAUCGGAACGUGCCCGAUCGUGGGGGAUAACGAAGCGAAAGCUUUGCUAAUACCGCAUACGAUCUACGGAUGAAAGCAGGGGACCGCAAGGCCUUGCGCGAACGGAGCGGCCGAUGGCAGAUUAGGUAGUUGGUGGGAUAAAAGCUUACCAAGCCGACGAUCUGUAGCUGGUCUGAGAGGACGACCAGCCACAUGGGGACUGAGACACGGACCAGACUCCUACGGGAGGCAGCAGUGGGGAAUUUUGGACAAUGGGCGAAAGCCUGAUCCAGCCAUGCCGCGUGCAGGAUGAAGGCCUUCGGGUUGUAAACUGCUUUUGUACGGAACGAAAAGACUCUGGUUAAUACCUGGGGUCCAUGACGGUACCGUAAGAAUAAGCACCGGCUAACUACGUGCCAGCCGCCGCAGUAA
Molecule: ribosomal RNA, 498 nt
Filed under: uncultured bacterium
Lineage: Bacteria
Description: partial 16S ribosomal RNA
Rfam family: Bacterial small subunit ribosomal RNA
Source: RNAcentral